RNAcentral lists this non-coding RNA (24 nucleotides) under Arabidopsis thaliana (thale cress). Lineage: Eukaryota; Viridiplantae; Streptophyta; Magnoliopsida; Brassicales; Brassicaceae. The record is from RNAcentral.
CUACCAUUAGGCAAUCUCCAUCAG